RNAcentral lists this ribosomal RNA (496 nucleotides) under uncultured bacterium. RNAcentral describes it as "partial 16S ribosomal RNA". It matches the Rfam family "Bacterial small subunit ribosomal RNA", at positions 29 to 507 of the family's 1533-position model. The record is from RNAcentral.
AUGAACGCUGGCGGCGUGCCUAAUACAUGCAAGUCGCGCGAACAGACGAGGAGCUUGCUCCUCUGACGUUAGCGGCGGACGGGUGAGUAACACGUGGAUAACCUACCUAUAAGACUGGGAUAACUUCGGGAAACCGGAGCUAAUACCGGAUAAUAUAUUGAACCGCAUGGUUCAAUAGUGAAAGACGGUUUUGCUGUCACUUAUAGAUGGAUCCGCGCCGCAUUAGCUAGUUGGUAAGGUAACGGCUUACCAAGGCAACGAUGCGUAGCCGACCUGAGAGGGUGAUCGGCCACACUGGAACUGAGACACGGUCCAGACUCCUACGGGAGGCAGCAGUAGGGAAUCUUCCGCAAUGGGCGAAAGCCUGACGGAGCAACGCCGCGUGAGUGAUGAAGGUCUUCGGAUCGUAAAACUCUGUUAUUAGGGAAGAACAAAUGUGUAAGUAACUAUGCACGUCUUGACGGUACCUAAUCAGAAAGCCACGGCUAACAACGUG